Molecule: long non-coding RNA, 756 nt
Filed under: Manacus vitellinus (golden-collared manakin)
Lineage: Eukaryota; Metazoa; Chordata; Aves; Passeriformes; Pipridae
Description: lncRNA (ENSMVIG00005017944.1)
Source: RNAcentral
AGAGCAUCGCGUUGCUGUGGCAACACAACCCACUUCCCCUGGGACCGCGUUGCCUCGGCGACAUCAGGCGGGCAACGCCGGCGGGUUAAAUCGACUCAGAGCAGCUGCCCCCUGAAAAACAGGACAGCCCUGGCCUCGGGGAGCAUGGGAGCCCAGAGGUUCAUCUCACCAGAGCCUGGGAAUGUAGAACAGCCAUGUGACUAAUGUGAUUAUCAGCUCUGUCAGAAAGAAAAAUUAGACACGAAAAUCAAGAUGAGCAUCUUCCAUGGACACCUCACUUCAAGAUCUUACCAUUAUUCCAAGCAAAGCUUUAGCAGACCUUCUCCACCUGCCCCUGUACUCGGAAUGGGAGCGUGGAAUGAAGCAAGGGGAGAGAUCAGCACAGACCAGUCUUUAGGAAGGGAAGGGCUGGACUCUCAAACCAGCAGGCAGCUCUGGCAUCCCUGGAUGUGUUCACACUGCUCUUCCCAGGUCCCAGGGAGGUUAGGAGCUCAGCAGGAUGCCUUUGACAGAGCAGCUGGAAUGGGCAGCUUUAAGCAUCAGUGUCCGGAAUUGCAAGAAAGAAGAGGCACAUCUGUCCUCCCAAGAGGUGUCAGUAUUUCUGAAACAUGUAAGUAAAACAGAAGGAAAAAAAUCCAGCUUUAUAACACCUCUUAAAGCUGAAAGUUGCUUCUAGGUAUCAUAGUCUCAGCAUCAAUAAGGGGCCAAAGCAGCCCCCAGAGCAGUACAGGGUAGUGUUUGAUGGUGAGGCAGCAC